CUCACUCAACACCCUUAUCCUCUUCCUUCCCACCCACUCGUCCCCAUCUCUCUCUCUCAGUUCCCGGCGGCGAGUCCUCCCUCUCUCUUCCCUGGCGGUUCUCCGGCGUUGUUGCCGGCUGCGAUUCUCAGCGGCGCACGGGCGGAGGCAGAGGCAGAGGCUCGGAGCCGGAGGCUCGCGCGCGUCACGCGGCAGUCGGAUCUCGAUGCCGUGACCUUGUCGACGACACCGAGAAGAGGAACCCACGCACGCCGUGGUGGUACCGCGAUUCCGGUGGGACAGAGCUGCCGGAGGUGCUCGUGCGGGCCGUUUGCAUCCACCCCCUCGACAUGUGGUGGUGGACGGUGGAUAGGUCUCGCCGACGGCAUCCCGAUGUCGACGGUGGUGGUUAGAGCGGCCGUGCGCUUGGUGAAGCCGUAGUGUUUUUGGGCCGGCGCCCCAUCUGGUGCUGGAGGGAGAUGCUCGUACGCGCCAGCAAGAGCCCGCCAUAGGUGUGGAUCCUACACCUUCCGUCGCAUCCCCACGUCUCCUCCGCCUACAGCCUACUCCGUAACACGGCGAAGGAGCUCGUGUGGGUGGAUGCUCCGGCGGCGUGCCCGGAGACAGCGGGCGGAGGAGCUCGUGUGUGCCUGCCCUGACGGAGAGGAGCGGAAGAUGCUCCUGGAGUGGGAGCACAGCGCUCUCAAGCGCUCGUGCUCCGGGGGCUCCGGCGACGUACAAGGAGCUGCAUGAGCGCAGAGAGGAGCUUAUCUUUUGUUAGAUAUGUUUCAUGCCUCCUCGAGCUCGACCACCCAUGGCUACGCACUGCUAAGGCAGUGGAUCCCUUCCGGCAGAGAAAAAAGACCAACUCCCAGCUGUGAGGGUCAAACUGGAACAUGAUCCCUUGGAUAUGUUGGUGAAGGCCUUCGAGAUGAGCGGGCGGUUAUGCCUUGCCGUAAAAGUGCCCGGCUUCCCUCCGACUCUUCAGUUAUGGGUUAUGUCUCUGCCACCGCAGGACCAGUGGGCCGACAGUGACGACAAAAAGUUGUGCUGGGAUUUGCACUACAGCUUCACCGCAUACUACACCAACAAUAAUGUACCGACUAGCGUUUGGUUUGACAAUGGCGAGAAGACGUUGUGCGUCAGGCAAGAGGAUGUCUUGUUCAAGCAUGGCAUGAGAGGACGCUCGCCGGAGCCGUCUCGAUAUUCUUAUUGUCCAGAAUGCGACCAGCGACUCGAGCUGCCGCCAACACCGUCGAACUACAUAUGGAACAUUUUGAGGGGCUAUCGCCCCAGCUUGCUCUCA
Triticum aestivum (bread wheat) is the source of this 1285-nucleotide long non-coding RNA. RefSeq lists it as uncharacterized. The transcript has 3 exons. NCBI's taxonomy places the organism in Eukaryota, Viridiplantae, Streptophyta, Magnoliopsida, Poales, Poaceae. The record is from RefSeq and is a predicted model, not a curated record.